GAAUGGGACCCUUGAUACAAGGCUUUCAUAGACCAGCCGGUGCUGAUGGGGUCCGGGACUUGACGAUGGCGCCUGCUCGUUCCUGUUGUGUUCUAUCUGAGGCAUGAUUUUCUUUCGUUUUUGGGAGGUAGAGAGCACGGGGCAGAGGUUGCACCUGACACAUUAGAACUCCGUUGUCACUGCUGUGGCUGUUAUUCCCCUCGGCAAGAGCCAAGGAGCAAACAGGACGUGAAGAUCCCGGUGUUACACAUCCAAUCGUUCACCUCCUUCCAAGACUAUGACAUUCCAGGAAACCUUCACUGCUAAGAGGAACUAAGAUCUAGAGUAUCUCCUCGAGGAAGUACAACUGGUAAUUAAUAAGAAGUCCAGUGGCUCACACCUGCGAUCCCAGCACUUUGGGAGGCUGAGAUGGGCAGAUUGCUCGAGCCCAGGAAUUCAAGACCAACCUGGGCAACAUGGCAAAACCCCAUCUCUACAAAAAUACAAAAAUUAACCAGAUGUGAUGGUUCAUGCCUGUAGUCCCAGCUACUCUGGAGGCUGAUGUGGGAGGAUCGCUUGAGCCUAGGAAGUCAAGGCUGCAGUGAGUCAUGAUUGCUCCGCUCCACUGCACUCUGGCCUUGAUGAUAGAGUGAGAACCAGUCUCAAAAAAAAAAAGGUCAUUUUCUAAGCAUUUGUUGAUUCAAUACUGCCCACUAUGUACACUGACAAUUAGACAUAAUUUAAUUUCAGCUCAUGGUAUGAAUGGAGACAAAAUGAAAUCAUUUUAAUGCACAUUAAGGCAAUAUAGUGCCCUUAAAUAAAAAGUUGAAGUUCAUAAGGGACCAUCAUUAAGAUUUAACUUUGUAACAAAUAUUUUGUUUUUGUUUGUUUUAUUUUUAGAUUUGCAUAAUAAAACAUUCAUAUUC
Molecule: long non-coding RNA, 905 nt
Filed under: Homo sapiens (human)
Lineage: Eukaryota; Metazoa; Chordata; Mammalia; Primates; Hominidae
Description: HSALNT0365421
Source: RNAcentral